This 4019-nucleotide long non-coding RNA is filed under the name Mytilus galloprovincialis (Mediterranean mussel). The record is from RNAcentral. Lineage: Eukaryota; Metazoa; Mollusca; Bivalvia; Mytilida; Mytilidae.
AUUUGAAAAUUACAUUCCCAUAUCAAGGAUCCAGAUACAAGGUAAGUACAAAUAGUUUUAGAAUAUAGAAUCAUUUAUAAUCAAGAUUAAAACUAUCAGCUACUCGUAAUUGGGAUAAUACAAAUAAGAAGGUAUCUUUUGAAUUGCUGAAAAAGAAAUGAAAGCAUGGCUUGACGAUGAAAAAUAAAUUCAUCUUCAUGAGAUUACUAUUUCCUGGGAAUUGCUUUUGAAACAUUUUUGUGGACCUCCGAAUUCAUCUUGACGGUAUCUCAAAAAUCAGAAGGUUUCACACAAUUGCGUCUAACCCUUCUGAUUUUGAAUCUGGUUUUUUUUCGAAAUUCCCGGUAUAUAAUAUUAAGAAAGAAUACAUACAUUUAAUUUGUUUUAUCUGGUCCUAAUUUUUCAUAAAUUUACACAAAUUGAAUUACUUAUAAAUUGCUUUCCAAUUUUAUAUGGUUUUUUUUCUGAUGGAGGUAAAUUCAAAAUAAAUGUUUCGGUCAAAGAAACGACGGUGAUUAUCAAACAUCAUUUGAAAAACAUUGCUAAAAUGAUCAGAAGAAAACAAAAGGCUAUUCAACAUAGGACACUAUCAGAUUAGCAAUUUGAGCACCAAUAAAUCUGAGGGUGAAACCAGGUAUUUUCUAAAAAAAGAAAGGUCCAAUUGCAAAACGCUAUUGGUUUAUGUGGUUUAAAUGGUAUUGACAGUAAUCUUGGAAGCCGGCUAUCGGAUAUUUUCCUAGAACGAGCACUGCCUAUAUGUAAUAGUGCAACGUAAAAAACAAUUCUUCUUUUUGCAUUGAUUUUUAAGACAACUGGUCUUGGUUGUUAUAUGCUUAUUGGUGUGCAUGUAAUAAUUAUGUGUAAUGGAUGGAUACAUUGUACUCCAUAUUCAAUGUGUUUUCUUACAGCGAUUGGUUGGAUAUUACAAAAUAAAGGAAUUUUGUAUAUCUAUAGAAAUAAAUAUUUAAUCAAUUUCUCCACUUUACUUUUCAGCAAAGGAAUAAUUCUAACAUUGUUUUAGCUCACCAUGCAGCCCAUCACUUGCCUGUUCUUUGCCAUUUUCCUGUUUGGAAUAGCAAUACAAGGUAUGAUUUCAUCAUGUCUUUUAAUUUUAUUUCAAAGUUCCGACUGAAGGAAAAGAAUGAUAGUAUUCUCGGUUUCACUUUUCAUUUUUUUGACAGUAAAUAAACAUCUUCUUUACACAAUCGCUUCUAGUCACAGUUUAGGUCUCAAACAAAUUUACUCCUGUUAAUGAUUGAAAGUGGAUUGUUUUCUCUUAUAUGUCCGAUGUUGUGUCGAUGUUCUCCUCUUAUAUUUCCCUCAGUUUUAGUUUGUUACCCCAAUUUUGUUUUUUUCCAUAGAUUUACGAGUUUUGAACAGCGGUAUACUACUGUUGCCUUUAUUUAAAAGAGAGUACAACUAAGAACAGCAAUAUUAUUCCUUGUCCUAUUUCUAGAACUCCCGUGAUAUUUUGAUAUACAUACUGAUUCUCAAAUGUUUACAUAAUAUAUUUAUAUCGUAAUAUGUAAAGUAACAAUAGCCUUUUUUAUGAUGGGUUUUCCCAAGCUAAUUAGAUAACGAACUUGGUAUGAACAUUUGUACAUUCAUUUUAAUUAAGCAUGAUUUUAUUUUAGAAGUCUUGAAACAAAUGUCAUUUAAAAAAAAAACUGUUUCAUAAAAGGUAAACAUGAUACACAGAUUUGCUAGGGAACAUGUAUUUCGAAUUCGUCGUCGGUAAAAGUCUGUCAUUUAUUGGUCAUCUUUAAAGCAUGUUCAACAUUGCAGUCUUGAACAGAAGACGCUUAUAUCAGGCAUCGAUUACCUUUUGGAUUUCAAUGCUCUUCUACUUUGUACUUUAUUUGGCUUUUUUUUUUACUUUUUUGGAUUCGAGCGUCACUGAUGAGUCUUUUGUAGACGAAACGCGCGUCUGGCGUAUAUACAAAAUUUAGUCCUGGUAUCUAUGAUGAGUUUAUUUUUAUUUAUUUUUUCAUAUAUAAACAAUAUGUCUAGCUCUGGAUCAUUUAUUUCUUAUAUGUAAUAAGGUUAACAGAGUAAACGUGCUCCCAGAAUCAGUAUAUAAGUACUUGUUCCGCAUUGUCUUAUAUGUGCUAUCGCUGUUAUCUAUUCUCAUUUUCUUUUUCAUUUUAGAAAUAACUGCUACUAGAUGCUAUUCAUGGGUAAGAUCGAAAUUAAACAUAACUUCCAGGCUCCUAUUAUUUUAGGCGUUUAACUUUUUUGGUCAAUUUAUGUUUAGCAUGAUUAGUUUUUUUAAUACUUAGAUGAUAAAAACAAUAUUUAUUCUUUGAUAAAAUUAUCUUGGACUUUUGUCUCAUACAACAAAAUCAAUCGGUGGUGUCAUGCUGAAUACUACUGGCCGUUCUGAUUUAACACACAAUAAAUAAUCCCAUUAAAUGGGAAUCGUUCUGAUUUAACACACAAUAAAUAAUCCCAUCAAAUGGGAAUUCAUUGAAAAGGAUUUCUAAAACAAAUACUGUGGAUUCAUUUAUUUUCGUGGAUAUCAAUUUUCGUGGAAUGCUGAAAACUUGCAUAUUCGUUAAUAUUUGAUUUCGUGGUUUUCCCAAUCUCUGUAUAAAAAGCCUUUUCAAAAUAUGUUAUUCGUUGAACAUUUGAAAUCGUGGUUCCCCUGUACCCACGAAACCCAAGAAAAUUGGUAGCCAACGAAUAAUAAUGAAAUAGGACUUAUGAUUUAUCAAAUAUCUAUAUUGGUCAAUUAUCUACAUACAUAUACUUACAUAUUUUAUUAAAAUUAACUCUACCUGUUUAACUCUUGUUCAUGUGUUGUUUGGUUUUUUUUUGUCAUACAUAUAUCAUGUUUGCAUUUUAACCCGUCAGGUUUUCGCUGUUUGAAAUACAGUGUUAUUUUUUUUAGCCUCGUGCAUGUCCACCGUGGAAGAGAUGCAUUACACUCCCAUGGUACCCAUAUUACAGAUGUGUUCAAAGAUGGGGAUGGGGAAAUUCAGGAAGUCCAUGGAGAAUGGGAAUCUAUGGUAGUUGGAGUAGCUACGGCAGUGGAGGAGGGGGUUACGGAGGUGGUGGUAUGGGUUAUGGAAGUGGCGGUAUGGGUGGUUACGGAGGAGGCGGUAUGGGUGGUUACGGAGGAGGCGGUAUGGGUGGUAUCGGAGGCGGUGGCAUGGGUGGUUACGGAAGCGGCGGUAUGGGUGGUUAUGGAGGUUACGGUGGCGGCGGCAUGGGUGGUAUUGGAGGCGGUGGUAUGGGUGGUUACGGAGGAGGCAUUAUGGGUGGUUACGGAGGUGGCAGUAUGGGUGGUUACGGAGGUGGCGGCUAUGGGUCUGGCGGUUAUGGAUCUGGUGGUUAUGGCGGUGGUGGCUAUGGGUCUGGUGGAUAUGGAUCUGGAAGUUAUGGCAGAAAGAAAUCAGUUUGUAAGUAUUCAAUACGCCUCGAUUAUGGAUUUUAUUUUCAAUUUCCUAACAUCUGUUUAAAUAACACCGUUUAUAUUAUUGAUGAUGCUAGUCAUGUUCUUGCAUUUUGAUAUAGGUUUGUCAUGGUGUCACUUAACUUUUAUCGCUAAGUUUUCUUAGGAAAAUGGCACAUCGAGCGACAUUCAAUUGUAUUAGUAAUCAAAGGUAGUAGGCUUAUAGUUGAAUACGCCAGACGUACGUUUCGUCAACAUAUGACUCAUCAGUGACGCUCAAAUCAGUUAGAAAGCCUAAUUAAACAGUUUAAAACUGAUACAAACUGAUUCUUCUUUUGCAUUGAAGGAAGAAAGUUUCAUUUGAAGUGAUACCGGUAUUAAUGUAAGCAAUGACUCGAAAGAACAGUUUUGUCACGUAAAGACUAGUUUCGAAUGCAAUUUUACAAAUGAGUACACCACAAAAUAACACCGAGAUGUAAAGAAUUAAUUUCAACAACAUGUGUUUUAUUCCUUGCAGAUUAGUGACAAAAGGAUGAAAAUUACAACGACUGGCCUAUUAUUUGAAUAUUUUAUUGAAUAAAUUUGUAUAUUAAGCAUUACAUGCUUUUUUUUUAACUUAAGCCAA